RNAcentral lists this unclassified non-coding RNA (1524 nucleotides) under Dimorphilus gyrociliatus. RNAcentral's name for it is "bHLH domain-containing protein". The record is from RNAcentral. Lineage: Eukaryota; Metazoa; Annelida; Polychaeta; Dinophilidae.
AGUGCAGUCGUUCGUCCGACACGUUCGCUUCGUCGAUUUCAAUCGUUUGUCGUUCCGUGAAUUCUCUGUUAUUUUUUUCUACAGGCAUGGACGUAGCCGGGUGGAGGACUACGGACUAUGAAAUGAGAAAACGAUCACUUCCAGGAACUGAUUCAGUCUCUACAACAUCCAACUCCCCAUCGGAUUCCUCGUCGGCCAACGGGGAUGAACCUACGGCGGCUAAAAGGCAGCGAACAUCAUCAACACUCGGUAAGAGAAACGGAGGACAACGGCGGAGGAAAGCCCUAAAUGCAAGGGAAAGAAACCUCAGACGAUUGGAAAGUAACGAAAGAGAAAGAAUGAGAAUGCAUUCGCUGAACGACGCCUUUCAAGGAUUGCGAGAAGUGAUCCCUCACGUAAAGAUGAGCCGGAAAUUAUCAAAGAUUGAGACCUUAAUGCUAGCCAAGAAUUAUAUAAUGGCGUUAACAAACGUCGUUUGCGAUAUGAGGGGUGAAAGCCCUAUGUACGAAUUAGGUGAAACGAAAAACCAACCCGGGCUACCCUCUUCAAAGAAAGAAAAUAUAGGAAGUUAGAAGGUAUAGCUGGGUGUUGGAAGAGGACAUAAGAACAUAAUCCAAGGAUGUUUAUUUUUUUGACCAGUUAAGAAACAAAAAAAAUACAAAAAACUGCCACAAUCCUCACAAUGCAUCAAGUUGGGAAAACUUUUGCCCCCAAAAAUAAUCCUAGUGUUGUUCUUUGUUUUAUCGAAAAUGUUUUAUUUUGCGAAUCUUAAAUUUUAAAUAUGUUAUUGAAAUGACAACAAAAAACCGAAGAGAGUCCUCUAUUUAGCCAUAAUUAUGUACAGAAAAUCUGUCUGUAUAAGCUGUAUAUAUAUAGGCUGACUAUAUACUGAUUAUGUAAAAAGCGACAUAAAAUUACUUAUGUUAUUUAUCUAUCAUUAUGAAAUUGUUCUUUGAUUGUUCAUCUCUUUCAAAUUUUACAUUCUAUUGCUUUUAUUCUUAUUUUUUGAAGGCCAUUUUCUGAAAAGGUAACCGAUUUAAAAAAGGAAGAAACCUCACAUUUUAAACAUUCCAGCCAGUACGAUAAUGAAUAAGAUAUAUAUACAUGUAUUUAUAUAUGUCCUAUAUACACAUAAUAUUGUUUAUUCGCUAUUUAGACCUAACAAAAGAGCUUCCAUCGUUCCAUAACUUUAAAUAUUUCCUUUGUUUAUCAUUUUUUGCUUUGUUUUGUUCUUAGAAGAAUUUUUAUUUGCAUUCCAAGUUGUUUUCUGUGCACACCUAUUGCCUCUCAAUAGAGUCCUUGAAAAUGUAUAUAUAUAUAUACUAAUAUAUAUAUGUAUACAUAAAUAUAUAUCUAACAUAUAGGGACAUGUAUUGACAUCUAAGUUUUCCUAUGUUCUAUAUGUACAGUGCCUGCUCCAAGUUACAAUUAUACGCAUUUCAUCAUCAAAAAAUAUUUACAUAGGCGUAUUUAUCUCGAAGAGCAAGUGCUGUACAUAGAUAAACAACCAUAUAUAUAUAUAUG